UCUCAUACUCAGUGUAAUGUUGACAAUACCGAGGUUGUUACAGCUCAUACUCAGUGUAAUGUUGACAAUACCGAGGUUGCUACAGCUCAUACUCAGUGUAAUGUUGACAAUACCGAGGUUGUUACUACUCAUACUCAGUGUAAUGUUGACAAUAUCGAGGUUGCUACUACUCAUACUCAGUGUAAUGUUGACAAUACCGAGGUUGCUACUACUCAUACUCAGUGUAAUGUUGACAAUAUCGAUAGGGGUGCAUAUGCUAAUACUCAAUUCAAUGCUGACAAUAAUGAAGAAGUAUACGAAAAUCUGAAAGUACAAUGAAUUAGAAACUCUUAAAUAUGUUGUGUAACUUCAUACUUUUAUUUCUGUAAUUUUAUUUGAAUAUCAAUGUGUGAUAUUAACAAAGUCACAUAUUAAUAAAACAUACUGGUCAAUAUGAAGGUAUUAUGUGUAAAACUUGAUUUGCACUUUGUUUUCGCCUAUAUAAUGUACUUAUUUUUUUCUUAUUUUAUAUGUAAUAAAUCAAUUAAUGUGGAUAA
This is a long non-coding RNA of Mytilus californianus (California mussel), 536 nucleotides long. RefSeq lists it as uncharacterized. The transcript is spliced from 2 exons. The record is from RefSeq and is a predicted model, not a curated record. NCBI's taxonomy places the organism in Eukaryota, Metazoa, Mollusca, Bivalvia, Mytilida, Mytilidae.